GAUUAUGACGUACUUGUACUGAUUGAGAUUUUAACACGAAGUGAGUGGCGAACGGGUGAGUAACACGUGGGUAACCUGCCCAGAAGUAGGGGAUAACACCUGGAAACAGAUGCUAAUACCGUAUAACAGAGAAAACCGCAUGGUUUUCUUUUAAAAGAUGGCUCUGCUAUCACUUCUGGAUGGACCCGCGGCGUAUUAGCUAGUUGGUGAGGUAAAGGCUCACCAAGGCAGUGAUACGUAGCCGACCUGAGAGGGUAAUCGGCCACAUUGGGACUGAGACACGGCCCAGACUCCUACGGGAGGCAGCAGUAGGGAAUCUUCCACAAUGGACGCAAGUCUGAUGGAGCAACGCCGCGUGAGUGAAGAAGGGUUUCGGCUCGUAAAGCUCUGUUGUUAAAGAAGAACGUGGGUAAGAGUAACUGUUUACCCAGUGACGGUAUUUAACCAGAAAGCCACGGCUAACUACGUGCCAGCAGCCGCGGUAAUACGUAGGUGGCAAGCGUUAUCCGGAUUUAUUGGGCGUAAAGCGAGCGCAGGCGGUCUUUUAAGUCUAAUGUGAAAGCCUUCGGCUCAACCGAAGAAGUGCAUUGGAAACUGGGAGACUUGAGUGCAGAAGAGGACAGUGGAACUCCAUGUGGU
RNAcentral lists this ribosomal RNA (639 nucleotides) under Pediococcus pentosaceus. Its description in RNAcentral is "bacterial SSU rRNA". It matches the Rfam family "Bacterial small subunit ribosomal RNA", at positions 64 to 677 of the family's 1533-position model. The record is from RNAcentral. Lineage: Bacteria; Bacillati; Bacillota; Bacilli; Lactobacillales; Lactobacillaceae.